Molecule: microRNA, 22 nt
Filed under: Gorilla gorilla (western gorilla)
Lineage: Eukaryota; Metazoa; Chordata; Mammalia; Primates; Hominidae
Also listed under: 1 other name
Description: ggo-miR-1289
Source: miRBase by way of RNAcentral
UGGAAUCCAGGAAUCUGCAUUU